ACUAAGCAUAUCAAUAAGCGGAGGAAAAGAAACCAACAGGGAUUGCCCUAGUAACGGCGAGUGAAGCGGCAACAGCUCAAAUUUGAAAUCUGGCGCAAGCCCGAGUUGUAAUUUGUAGAGGAUGCUUCUGGGUAGCGACCGAUCUAAGUUCCUUGGAACAGGACGUCAUAGAGGGUGAGAAUCCCGUAUGUGACCGGCCCGCACCCUUUACGUAGCUCCUUCGACGAGUCGAGUUGUUUGGGAAUGCAGCUCUAAAUGGGAGGUAAAUUUCUUCUAAAGCUAAAUACCGGCCAGAGACCGAUAGCGCACAAGUAGAGUGAUCGAAAGAUGAAAAGUACUUUGGAAAGAGAGUUAAAAAGCACGUGAAAUUGUUGAAAGGGAAGCGCCUGCAACCAGACUUCGCGGCAGUGUUCCGCCGGUCUUCUGACCGGUUCAUUCUCUGUCGCGAGGCCAUCAUCGUCUGGGCCCGCCGGAUAAGACCUUAGGAAUGUAGCUCACCUUCGGGGGAGUGUUAUAGCCUAGGGUGAUGCGGCGAGGCUCGGGCGAGGUCCGCGCUUCGGCAAGGAUGAUGGCGUAAUGGUUGUCGGCGGCCCGUCUUGAAACACGGACCAAGGAGUCUAACAUCUAUGCGAGUGUUCGGGUGUCAAACCCCUACGCGUAAUGAAAGUGAACGGAGGUGGGAACCGCAAGGUGCACCAUCGACCGAUCCUGAUGUCCUCGGAUGGAUUUGAGUAAGAGCAUAGCUGUUGGGACCCGAAAGAUGGUGAACUAUGCCUGAAUAGGGUGAAGCCAGAGGAAACUCUGGUGGAGGCUCGCAGCGGUUCUGACGUGCAAAUCGAUCGUCAAAUUUGGGUAUAGGGGCGAAAGACUAAUCGAACCAUCUAGUAGCUGGUUCCUGCCGAAG
This 904-nucleotide ribosomal RNA is filed under the name Septoria phlogis. RNAcentral describes it as "LSU rRNA". It matches the Rfam family "Eukaryotic large subunit ribosomal RNA", at positions 33 to 966 of the family's 3401-position model. The record is from RNAcentral. Lineage: Eukaryota; Fungi; Ascomycota; Dothideomycetes; Mycosphaerellales; Mycosphaerellaceae.